This is a long non-coding RNA of Scatophagus argus, 984 nucleotides long. RefSeq lists it as uncharacterized. The transcript is spliced from 6 exons. The record is from RefSeq and is a predicted model, not a curated record. NCBI's taxonomy places the organism in Eukaryota, Metazoa, Chordata, Actinopteri, Scatophagidae.
CUUUUAUUCUUUCCUUUUCUUUCCAAAAUAAGCACCCGAUAGCUUUGGCCUUUUUAUGUCCGAUAUGUUUAUUACCUGAAUCUGAGUCGCCUCGGGAAUCAACAGGUUACCCUACCCAUCACCCAAUGCCCUCUGACGCGACGGACAGCAGGGGUCAAGACUAAACCAACACAUUGGUGGUGUACAGAUCUCAUUCUCAGUCUCAUUUUUGUAUAGGAAGGCUAUAUUAUUGGCCGUCGCACAACCCUGACAGACGAAAACAAGAGUGUAUGGAAGUUGAAACAGGCAGCUAUCUAGUGUUAUGGAUGAAAUGUACUUUAAGCACAAUUAGGAGGAUCCCCGUUCCCCCUCCUCCUUAUUCCAGUGGUGUGACCUCUGUCAGUGAUCCGACCUCCACCUCCCCACCUCCCUCUUGCGGAGUUGCAGUAACUGCAGCGGGGAAGUAGAAAGUCAUUUGGUGGAUGGCGUUUGGACUGCAUCGUGAGUUCUCUCUCUUUAUCAGUGCUCUAUUGGAAUGAGAUCUAGUGACUGUGAAGGCAAAAGAAGUGGCACCUUCUGCUGCUGUCGCCCAUCCGCUUCAAGAAAUACCUCAUAGGAUGGAAAACGUCAUGAUCAAAGUGUCACAGGCACCAGACUUUCCUGUUGCACCUCCGUAUGAUGAAGGUCCUCUUCCGUACUCGAUGGUCCAACCUCGAGGUCAAGACAGUGCAAACGAGCCAGUGCCAGUUUUUGUUUUCAAAACCACAUGCUGCCCUAAAAAGUGGACCCAAAGUAACUGUCUGGCCUUGGCAUUUAUCUUUGUCUGUCUCUUACUCCUGGUGUUGUUCGGGUUUGUUCUUUACUCAGCUUACGUUAAGAGGUAAUUUUGUUCAAAAUGAAAACUGUUAAAAAAGAUCAUCAUAUCAUGGUGCAAAAAAGCCUGACAUUGCCCUACGAACCCCAAAAGAGAGUUUGUAUAAAAGGUUAAUUUGUAUAAUAAUAAAA